This 403-nucleotide long non-coding RNA is filed under the name Fukomys damarensis (Damara mole-rat). RNAcentral describes it as "lncRNA (ENSFDAG00000028001.1)". The record is from RNAcentral. Lineage: Eukaryota; Metazoa; Chordata; Mammalia; Rodentia; Bathyergidae.
CUCCAAUUAACCAAAUGCACCCAUUUCACACUGUGUCCACAUGAAAUCUUUCAUAGCAGGUGUAAAGGGAGAAGAACAAAUAAACAACUUACCGUCUACGCAUUUGUCGCGAGCCGGCGACGCAGAGCACUGUCCAGCAGUGCCUCAAACCUGAAAGAGCAGCGGGGUGGAGAUGGGGCAGAGAGAAAGGAAGGACGCCAAGACAAGAGUCUGAUCAAGGCGGCGUUUAUUGCCUGCAAGCACCGGCCUUUUAAAGCAAAAAAAAAAACAAAAAAACCACAAACUAUUAUGGGAUGGGUUUACCAUAGUAACUGAAAGGUCACACAGGAAAAGAGCAAACAGGUUCACCAAAACAACCCACCGUGAGUAGUAGUAACCCGGACAACCACACAUCUGAAGGUCA